GUUGCCUUCCACUAUAUUUUAUCUUAAAAAAUUUUGAAAUACAUGCAUAAAAUCACCUACAUUUUUCAAUAGGAAGAACCUUUCUUCUCCAAUUUUUCUGUUGUAAAACUAGCAAAAGAGUCUCUCUUUGACACCUUGAAACCAGCAGCAAAAUCCCUUGAAAACCCCUUCCAAAGAGGUGUGAGAUGAAGGCUUAGGCAUGUGGGAUUUGGGGUGUCCAACUCUUGGAUGCCCUUUCCUUCUUUUUAGCGACUUGG
This 257-nucleotide long non-coding RNA is filed under the name Elaeis guineensis (African oil palm). Its description in RNAcentral is "long non-coding RNA (EGUI_LNC070958)". The record is from RNAcentral. Lineage: Eukaryota; Viridiplantae; Streptophyta; Magnoliopsida; Arecales; Arecaceae.